GAUGAACGCUGGCGGCGUCCCCAAUACAUGCAAGUCGAGCGAACAGACGAGGAGCUUGCUCCUCUGACGUUAGCGGCGGACGGGCGAGUAACACGUGGAUAACCCACCUAUAAGACUGGGAUAACUUCGGGAAACCGGAGCUAAUACCGGAUAAUAUAUUGAACCGCAUGGUUCAAUAGCGAAAGACGGUUUUGCUGUCACUUAUAGAUGGAUCCGCGCCCCAUUAGCUAGUUGGUAAGGUAACGGCUUACCAAGGCGACGAUGCGUAGCCGACCUGAGAGGGUGAUAGGCAGCACUAGAGCUGGGACGCAGUCCAGGCUCCUACGGGGGGGCGCAAUAGGUAACCGGCCGCAGUGGACGGGAGCUUGGCAGAGCAACCCCACGUGAGAGGUAGCAAUCUUGGGAUCGUAAAACUGGGUUAUGAGGGGAGAACAAAUGUGUAGGUUACUAUAGGCGUCUUGACGGUAGCUAAUGAAGAAGCCGCGGCUAACUACGUG
RNAcentral lists this ribosomal RNA (497 nucleotides) under uncultured bacterium. RNAcentral's name for it is "partial 16S ribosomal RNA". It matches the Rfam family "Bacterial small subunit ribosomal RNA", at positions 28 to 507 of the family's 1533-position model. The record is from RNAcentral.